GAUGAACGCUGGCGGCGUGCCUAAUACAUGCAAGUCGAGCGAACGGACGCGAAGCUUGUUUCUCUGAUGUUAGCGGCGGACGGGUGAGUCACACGUGGAUAACCUACUUAUCAGACUGGGAUAACUUCGGGAAACCGGAGCUUAUACCGGAUAAUCUUUUGAACCGCAUGGUUCAAAAGUGAAAGACGGUCUUGGUGUCACUUCUCGAUGGUUCCGAGCUGCAUUAGCUAGUUGUUACGGUAACGGCUUACCAAGGCUACGAUGCAUAGCCGACCGGAGAGAGUGGUAGGCCACACGGGAACUGGGACACGGACCAGACUCCUGCGGGAGGCAGCAGAAGGGAAUCUUCCGCAAUGGGCGAAAACCUGACGGAGCAACGCCGCGUGAGAGAUGAAGGUCUUCGGAGCGUAAAACUCUGUUAUGAGGGAAGAACAGAUUUGUAAGGAACUGAGCACAUCUUGACGGUACCUAAUCAGAAAGCCACGGCUAACUACGUG
This 497-nucleotide ribosomal RNA is filed under the name uncultured bacterium. Its description in RNAcentral is "partial 16S ribosomal RNA". It matches the Rfam family "Bacterial small subunit ribosomal RNA", at positions 28 to 507 of the family's 1533-position model. The record is from RNAcentral.